RNAcentral lists this ribosomal RNA (324 nucleotides) under Saccharopolyspora hirsuta. Its description in RNAcentral is "bacterial SSU rRNA". It matches the Rfam family "Bacterial small subunit ribosomal RNA", at positions 1 to 327 of the family's 1533-position model. The record is from RNAcentral. Lineage: Bacteria; Bacillati; Actinomycetota; Actinomycetes; Pseudonocardiales; Pseudonocardiaceae.
UUGUUGGAGAGUUUGAUCCUGGCUCAGGACGAACGCUGGCGGCGUGCUUAACACAUGCAAGUCGAACGCUGAAGCACUUUCGGGUGUGGAUGAGUGGCGAACGGGUGAGUAACACGUGGGUAAUCUGCCCUGCACUCUGGGAUAAGCCUUGGAAACGGGGUCUAAUACCGGAUACGACACAUGAAGGCAUCUUUGUGUGUGGAAAGUUCUGGCGGUGCAGGAUGAGCCCGCGGCCUAUCAGCUUGUUGGUGGGGUGAUGGCCUACCAAGGCGACGACGGGUAGCCGGCCUGAGAGGGUGACCGGCCACACUGGGACUGAGACAC